Molecule: long non-coding RNA, 801 nt
Filed under: Cricetulus griseus (Chinese hamster)
Lineage: Eukaryota; Metazoa; Chordata; Mammalia; Rodentia; Cricetidae
Description: lncRNA (ENSCGRG00015035512.1)
Source: RNAcentral
CUGAAAAUAAUCCUCACGGAAUCGGAGGCCCUCAGUCCUGUUAGCUGUGCGCUAAGGGAAUGCUUGUAACCAAAGGAGAACAGAAAUGGCUCAGCCCUACUUUUUCAGUAAUUCCUAUUUCAGGCCUAAAAGGCAUAGUCUCUCAUUGAACUGAAAGACCCCCGAAGAGGUACUUUCGUAGAAGGAGACCCGCACCCAGGAAUCAGCGAGACCACGAGCUUGGAUGCAAAACCGCAAGAGGCUUUAUUGGAGAUACGGUUCUCCAUGGGCUCUGAGAAGAGCUGCCAUCUUCAGUUUGUCCCUGCAUCUAUUGUGAAGAUGGAGCCAUGCCUUUUGAGCUUUGGCAUACAAUUUGAGCAGAAACUGGAAGAAAGUCAUUCUACUGAAGUUUUCAUUGGUCUAGAGGAGAACAACAACAACAAAAAAGUGUGACCUUUUGUCCGAAGCCAAAUGUUAGAUUCUGGACAUGUUAAUAGAUGCCCAGCUCAUCACUGGCCUGGAAAGUUCCUUGAGAGCAGAAAUGGUUCCCACAUCCGAGGCUAUGCUGGGUAUAGAGGAUGCUGUGCCUGCUCCUGUCCCUCUGUGAAACCAAUAGCUGUAAAGAUCAGACCUGGAGACUCCAUGGCUGCCCCCUACCUCUGGAGGAAUAUGAUCUGGUGAUGCCAUCAUAAGGAUUUGGAAGAUGGAAGAAAGUGAGGCUACCUUAGGGGAGGCUUCAGCCAAAGAACCGUAGCAGUUUUGCCUCUUCCCUUCCAUUCCGGAGGUGGCAUCCAACAACAGGCUCCAAGCCUUGAAUGAAUG